GGAAUAUUGGUAAAUGGGCGAAAGCCUGAACCAGCAACGCCGCGUGUGCGAUGAAGGCCUUCGGGUUGUAAAGCACUUUUAACCGGGAAGAGGAAGGACGGUACCGGUGGAAUAAGCCUCGGCUAACUACGUGCCAGCAGCCGCGGUAAAACGUAGGAGGCGAGCGUUAUCCGGAUUUACUGGGUGUAAAGCGCGAGCAGGCGGCUCGUUAAGUUGGGUGUAAAAGCUCCCGGCUCAACUGGGAGAGGUC
This 250-nucleotide ribosomal RNA is filed under the name uncultured bacterium. Its description in RNAcentral is "partial 16S ribosomal RNA". It matches the Rfam family "Bacterial small subunit ribosomal RNA", at positions 358 to 624 of the family's 1533-position model. The record is from RNAcentral.